This 465-nucleotide ribosomal RNA is filed under the name uncultured bacterium. RNAcentral describes it as "partial 16S ribosomal RNA". It matches the Rfam family "Bacterial small subunit ribosomal RNA", at positions 28 to 507 of the family's 1533-position model. The record is from RNAcentral.
GACGAACGCUGGCGGCGUGCUUAACACAUGCAAGUCGAACGGAAAGGCCCUGCUUGCAGGGUACUCGAGUGGCGAACGGGUGAGUAACACGUGGGUGAUCUGCCCUGCACUUCGGGAUAAGCCUGGGAAACUGGGUCUAAUACCGGAUAGGAGCCAUUUUAGUGUGAUGGUUGGAAAGUUUUUUUCGGUGUAGGAUGAGCUCGCGGCCUAUCAGCUUGUUGGUGGGGUAAUGGCCUACCAAGGCGGCGACGGGUAGCCGGCCUGAGAGGGUGGACGGCCACAUUGGGACUGAGAUACGGCCCAGACUCCUACGGGAGGCAGCAGUGGGGAAUAUUGCACAAUGGGCGCAAGCCUGAUGCAGCGACGCCGCGUGGGGGAUGACGGCCUUCGGGUUGUAAACUCCUUUCGCUAGGGACGAAGCUUUUUGUGACGGUACCUAGAUAAGAAGCACCGGCUAACUACGUG